Molecule: ribosomal RNA, 480 nt
Filed under: uncultured bacterium
Lineage: Bacteria
Description: partial 16S ribosomal RNA
Rfam family: Bacterial small subunit ribosomal RNA
Source: RNAcentral
GACGAACGCUGGCGGCGUGCUUAACACAUGCAAGUCGAACGAUGAAGAAAAGACUCGAAGCUUCGGCAGAAAUUCAUUUCGGAUUAGUGGCAGACGGGUGAGUAACGCGUGAGCAACCUACCUCUUACAAAGGGAUAGCCUCGGGAAACCGGGAUUAAUACCAUAUAACAUUGUGACGAAGCAUUUCGAUGCAAUCAAAGCUACGGCGGUAAGAGAUGGGCUCGCGUCCCAUUAACCGGAUGGUGAGGUAACGGCUCACCAUAGUGACGAUGGGUAACCGGCCUGAGAGGGUGAACGGUCACACUGGAACUGAGACACGGUCCAGACUCCUACGGGAGGCAGCAGUGGGGAAUAUUGCACAAUGGAGGGAACUCUGAUGCAGCGACGCCGCGUGAGUGAUGAAGGAAUUCGUUUCGUAAAACUCUGUUCUAUGGGAAGAAAAGGACUGUACCAUAGGAGAAAGCUCCGGCUAAAUACGUG